AACGAACGCUGGCGGCAGGCUUAACACAUGCAAGUCGAACGGGUGUAGCAAUACAUCAGUGGCAGACGGGUGAGUAACACGUGGGAACCUUCCUCGUUGUACGGGACAACUCAGGGAAACUUGAGCUAAUACCGUAUACGUCCGAGAGGAGAAAGAUUUAUCGCAAUGAUACGGGCCCGCGUCGGAUUAGCUAGUUGGUGGGGUAACGGCCUACCAAGGCGACGAUCCGUAGCUGAUCUGAGGGGAUGAUCAGCCACACUGGGACUGAGACACGGCCCAGACUCCUACGGGAGGCAGCAGUGGGGAAUCUUGGACAAUGGGCGCAAGCCUGAUCCAGCCAUGCCGCGUGAGCGAAGAAGGCCUUAGGGUUGUAAAGCUCUUCUGCCA
This 387-nucleotide ribosomal RNA is filed under the name uncultured bacterium. Its description in RNAcentral is "bacterial SSU rRNA". It matches the Rfam family "Bacterial small subunit ribosomal RNA", at positions 29 to 441 of the family's 1533-position model. The record is from RNAcentral.